UAAUACGGGGGGAGCAAACGUUGUUCGGAAUUACUGGGCGUAAAGGGCGCGCAGGCGGCUCGGUUAGUGGAAUGUGAAAUGCCCUGGCUUAACCAGGGAACUGCAUUCCAUACUGCCGGGCUUGAGUAUAGGAGAGGAUGGGGGAAUUCCCGGUGUAGCGGUGGAAUGCAUUGAUAUCGGGAGGAACACCAGUGGCGAAGGCGCCCAUCUGGCCUAAUACUGACGCUGAGGCGCGAAAGCUAGGGGAGCAAACAGGAUUAGAUACCCUGGUAGUCCUAGCCGUAAACGGUGAGCACUAGGUGUAGGAGGCAUCGACCCCUCCUGUGCCGCAGCUAACGCAUUAAGUGCUCCGCCUGGGGAGUACGACCGCAAGGUUG
RNAcentral lists this ribosomal RNA (377 nucleotides) under uncultured bacterium. RNAcentral's name for it is "bacterial SSU rRNA". It matches the Rfam family "Bacterial small subunit ribosomal RNA", at positions 521 to 896 of the family's 1533-position model. The record is from RNAcentral.